ACAGCAGUCGCCGCGGGAAUACGGAGGAUCCAAGCGUUAUCCGGAAUCAUUGGGUUUAAAGGGUCCGUAGGCGGUCUUGUAAGUCAGUGGUGAAAGCCCAUCGCUCAACGGUGGAACGGCCAUUGAUACUGCAGGACUUGAAUUAUUGGGAAGUAACUAGAAUAUGUAGUGUAGCGGUGAAAUGCUUAGAGAUUACAUGGAAUACCAAUUGCGAAGGCAGGUUACUACCAAUUGAUUGACGCUGAUGGACGAAAGCGUGGGUAGCGAACAGGAUUAGAUACCCGAGUAGUCCCUGUCUCUUAUAC
RNAcentral lists this ribosomal RNA (305 nucleotides) under uncultured bacterium. RNAcentral describes it as "partial 16S ribosomal RNA". It matches the Rfam family "Bacterial small subunit ribosomal RNA", at positions 508 to 807 of the family's 1533-position model. The record is from RNAcentral.